This is a long non-coding RNA of Lathyrus oleraceus (garden pea), 742 nucleotides long. RefSeq lists it as uncharacterized. The record is from RefSeq and is a predicted model, not a curated record. The transcript is spliced from 5 exons. Lineage: Eukaryota; Viridiplantae; Streptophyta; Magnoliopsida; Fabales; Fabaceae.
AUGAUGUACUUGAGUUUGAAUCAAACAAAACUUACAAACACUCAAUAAUAUAAAUAGUCUUCCCUUUCUUAUAGGUUUCAUAUCCUCUUGCAAAUACUUAAACACCUCUUCCACCUAUUCAAACCUUCCUUCCAACAUUAGGGUAGCAGAAUUACUGGCGUUACCAUAGAAUUUAUUUACACAAUGCUUCGUUCUAACCGUUGAAGACGAAGUUUGUUUAUUCAACUGAAGUCUCUACGAUGCAAUAUGAUUGGUCUCCGGUCAGAGUUAUAGUUUUCGACCGUGAUUUCCUUGAUUAAUUGAUAUAUUCAAAACGGUAAUAUAUGCAUAUACAAGUAUUGAUCCUUCACAUCGUUCUAUCAUAAUGUAGAUGAGUUCAUGUUUGUUUAUAUUUGAAAUGAUAAUGGAUGCAUAUGUAGACAAGAGGAAGACAAAAAAAAAUCUUUGUUGCAAACAUCAACAGCUUAUCGAGUAUCUUCCUCCUCCCGGAGAUAUUGAAAGACAAAAUAUCAACUCGAAUGAAAUCACUAUUGAGGAUGGUACUUAUGCAAACAUUCAAGAUUUUGUAAUAAACUCAGAUUUUGUAAACAAUUCCAAUUAAUGGACCUCAUCCGUUGCAUAUGAAGCAAAUGAUGAAUGGGUUUUCAAAUUCUUAUUUUAUGUUAGGGAUUCCAAAUUCCGAAACAAACUCAAAUUUUGUAAACAAUUUGAAGUAAAUGAAAAAAUUUAUUAUUUAAUGUUA